CACACCACGAACUCCACUUCCCAGCCUGCACCGCGGCCUACAAACAUGGCCGCCACGGACUGCGAUUCCCCGACCACUCACACACUGAAGCAGGAUUCAAGAAUGACAGAAAGAUGGAGGAAGCAAAGUACAGAGCUGGAAUUUCCUCAGGGAUAUUAUGGAACAGAUUUUGUGGAUUGAGAAGGGAAACAUGAGUUUAAUCCGUUUUAAAGAAACAUUUUCUAUCAUAAAUUGUAGCAAAAUAUUUUUUUAAGUGAAUGGGCCCGUGACCCUGAAAAGGAGUAAGCGGUAGAAGACGGAUGGAUGGCUGGAUGGUCUGAAUGCUUUUUUCUACAGUCUGUCAUUUUGAAUCAGCAGGGAAUGGAAGGAAUGAACCUGAGAACAACUUGCAUCUCUGCCCCGCCCUGCUCAUGAAUGUGUGAAGGACUGGUCAUGUGUUUUUAGAUGAGUCCAGCUGAGCAGGUUCUUCUGGGUGAUCUGGGUGUGGCUGUCAUCACCUACACUCUCGCGUGCACACACACAGCCUAAUGAUGACCUCCUUCGCUUGCAUCGUCACCUCUUUGGACCGCACAUUGAGAGUUCCCAAGAACGGCUAACAAAUGCAAAUUCA
This is a long non-coding RNA of Ictalurus punctatus (channel catfish), 610 nucleotides long. NCBI's taxonomy places the organism in Eukaryota, Metazoa, Chordata, Actinopteri, Siluriformes, Ictaluridae. The record is from Ensembl.